GACGGAAGGUGCAAGCGUUGCUCGGAAUUACUGGGCGUAAAGCGCACGUAGGCGGAUUGUUAAGUCGGGGGUGAAAUCCUGGAGCUCAACUCCAGAACUGCCUUCGAUACUGGCGAUCUCGAGUUCGGGAGAGGUGAGUGGAACUGCGAGUGUAGAGGUGAAAUUCGUAGAUAUUCGCAAGAACACCAGUGGCGAAGGCGGCUCACUGGCCCGAUACUGACGCUGAGGUGCGAAAGCGUGGGGAGCAAACAGG
This 253-nucleotide ribosomal RNA is filed under the name uncultured bacterium. RNAcentral's name for it is "partial 16S ribosomal RNA". It matches the Rfam family "Bacterial small subunit ribosomal RNA", at positions 524 to 776 of the family's 1533-position model. The record is from RNAcentral.